CCUACGGGAGGCAGCAGUAGGGAAUAUUGCUCAAUGGGGGAAACCCUGAUGCAGCAACGCCGCGUGGAGGAUGAAGGUUUUCGGAUUGUAAACUCCUUUUGUUAGAGAAGAUAAUGACGGUAUCUAACGAAUAAGCACCGGCUAACUCCGUGCCAGCAGCCGCGGUAAUACGGAGGGUGCAAGCGUUACUCGGAAUCACUGGGCGUAAAGAGCGCGUAGGCGGGAUAGCAAGUCAGAUGUGAAAUCCUAUGGCUUAACCAUAGAACUGCAUUUGAAACUGUUGAUCUAGAGUAUGGGAGAGGUAGGUGGAAUUCUUGGUGUAGGGGUAAAAUGCGUAGAGAUCAAGAGGAAUACUCAUUGCGAAGGCGACCUGCUAGAACAUAACUGACGCUGAUGCGCGAAAGCGUGGGGAGCAAACAGGAUUAGAUACCCCAGUAGUC
Molecule: ribosomal RNA, 440 nt
Filed under: uncultured bacterium
Lineage: Bacteria
Description: partial 16S ribosomal RNA
Rfam family: Bacterial small subunit ribosomal RNA
Source: RNAcentral